UUCUGACCGUAAACGAUGCCAACUAGCGAUCCGCCGGCGGCUUCUCGGCCCUGGUGGGGAGCUUCCCGGAAACGAAAGUCUUCCGGUUCCGGGGGAAGUAUGGUUGCAAAGCUGAAACUUAAAGGAAUUGACGGAAGGGCACCACCAGGAGUGGAGCCUGCGGCUUAAUUUGACUCAACACGGGAAAACUCACCCGGCCCGGACACCGUGAGGAUUGACAGAUUGAUAGCUUUUUCAUGAUUCGGUGGUUGGUGGUGCAUGGCCGUUCUUAGUUCGUGGAUCGAUUUGUCUGGUUUAUUCCGAUAACGAGCGAGACUCCAGCCUACUAACUAGUGCGGGCAUUGCCUCUGUGCUUGUCACUUCUUAGAGGGAUUGGCUGCGUCUAGCGGCACGAAACGGAGCAAUAACAGGUCUGUGAUGCCCUUAGAUGUCCGGGGCUGCACGCGCGCUACACUGGCAAAGGCAACGUGCUUGUCCGCCUCCGAAAGGAGCCGGUAAACCCUUGAAAAUUUGCCGUGAUUGGGAUCGGAAAUUGCAAUUAUUUUCCGUGAACGAGGAAUUCCUAGUAAGUGCGAGUCAUCAGCUCGCGUUG
RNAcentral lists this ribosomal RNA (592 nucleotides) under Crossonema menzeli. Its description in RNAcentral is "SSU rRNA". It matches the Rfam family "Eukaryotic small subunit ribosomal RNA", at positions 1024 to 1643 of the family's 1831-position model. Lineage: Eukaryota; Metazoa; Nematoda; Chromadorea; Rhabditida; Criconematidae. The record is from RNAcentral.